RNAcentral lists this long non-coding RNA (1289 nucleotides) under Lepidothrix coronata (blue-crowned manakin). RNAcentral describes it as "lncRNA (ENSLCOG00000001114.1)". Lineage: Eukaryota; Metazoa; Chordata; Aves; Passeriformes; Pipridae. The record is from RNAcentral.
CACACCGAAAUAUUGAUGAGUAUCUUGCUCUUGCCUUUUGUGCAAAAUGCCACUCAAGGCACUGUGCCAUCCUCUCUGCUGAGCUCACAGCAUCAGCCCACGACAAGAAAGGUCCCAGAAAACAUUGACUCACUGCAUCCCAGCAUCCUGCCAGGGGACGUGUCUGCAGUGAGAUCUCCUCAGCUGGAGCGAGGUUUAAUGGAAUGGAUCACUGUGAGGCUGUUUUACCUUCCCUGAGUGUGCUGCCACCUGUGCUGCCUGCCAGGACAAGGGCUGGGGGGCACUGGGAUCGCUGCCAGUGCUGGGCAGGACACAGCUGGAGCUGGGGGUUUGCAUGUGCAGGAGGAGCUUUCUGGAGAAGCUUUCAGAUGAAAUUGCUGAGAAUUUUUGCCUGAAGCAAGGGAUGUUUCCCAUGUUUAAGACAAGCAGUAACCUGCAGUUAGAAGGAAGAAGGGACUGAAUUCACUCCAGAAGUAUUUCUCCAGGAUCUUUUUUUCAAGGGACCAAGAAAGAAGACAAAGAGGAGAAGGUGAGAUGGUCCCAGGAGGCUCUGCUUUCAGCAUAUGUCGUUUUCCGAGGCUUCUCUGUGCCGAAUGCUUCUGUGUCCCAUCUGCUACCACACCCUGAAAUCAAACUCGGCAGCUUAGGUGCACCAGGCACUGUACAAACAUGUCAGACUUGCCUCCACCCCUUUUUCUACUCCCGCUUUUUCCUGCCGUCUUUCUCUCUCAAGUUUAUCGGCGUGUCAGCGGAUUCUGGUGGCGGAGCAUUCCCACCUCACCUCUGGGCACAGAGCAAUGAGGAGUCAGGGCCCAGCAACACUGUCCUCCAAUCGGCUUUGCUGCAUGACAGUGGGAGAGUUUGCCUCCAGACCCUUCUUGCUCCUCUCCCUUGGAAUUGUCCACCACCAGCAUUGUUGCAACAGGACUGCCAGACACUAGUGCUUUAAUGCAUUUGGGGACAGAGCACUGAAAAACAGAAGAGAAAUUUGUGGUGAGUGCAAGCUCUUGGGUGAGGCUGGGGGAUGUAUGUAGAGUAAGAGACAUUUGCUGAGUCUUCCCCUGCAUUUCUGAGUUCUGUGCUUGGGUAAAACCUGAGUCAGCCCUUACACAGCUGCUGGGGAAGGGAACCUGCUGCCUGACUCUCCCUCCAGCCCUGUCCCACUGGAAAGUCUCAUUCCUGAAGUGUGAUGAAGCUGUAUAUUGAUGUUGAUAUUCCGUGCUGCCUUGGUAUGGACAUGGUGUGUGCUGUGGGAGCAAUGGCUUUUGUACCCAGUAGCAAAGCUGACC